This 302-nucleotide ribosomal RNA is filed under the name uncultured bacterium. RNAcentral describes it as "partial 16S ribosomal RNA". It matches the Rfam family "Bacterial small subunit ribosomal RNA", at positions 508 to 807 of the family's 1533-position model. The record is from RNAcentral.
GCAGCCGCCGCGGGAAUACGAAGGGUGCAAGCGUUAAUCGGAAUUACUGGGCGUAAAGCGUGCGUAGGCGGUGAGUUAAGUCUGCUGUGAAAUCCCCGGGCUCAACCUGGGAAUGGCAGUGGAUACUGGCUCGCUAGAGUGUGUCAGAGGAUGGUGGAAUUCCCGGUGUAGCGGUGAAAUGCGUAGAGAUCGGGAGGAACAUCAGUGGCGAAGGCGGCCAUCUGGGACAACACUGACGCUGAGGCACGAAAGCGUGGGGAGCAAACAGGAUUAGAUACCCGCGUAGUCCCUGUCUCUUAUAC